GGUUUCGUAGCUCAAUUGGUUAGAGCAUCGAUCUGAUACGUCGAAGGUUGAAGGUUCGAGUCCUUCCGAAACUA
This 74-nucleotide transfer RNA is filed under the name Chryseobacterium arthrosphaerae. RNAcentral's name for it is "tRNA-Ile". It matches the Rfam family "tRNA". Rfam says of the family: Transfer RNA (tRNA) molecules are approximately 80 nucleotides in length. Their secondary structure includes four short double-helical elements and three loops (D, anti-codon, and T loops). The record is from RNAcentral. Lineage: Bacteria; Pseudomonadati; Bacteroidota; Flavobacteriia; Flavobacteriales; Weeksellaceae.